Molecule: ribosomal RNA, 465 nt
Filed under: uncultured Pseudomonas sp.
Lineage: Bacteria; Pseudomonadati; Pseudomonadota; Gammaproteobacteria; Pseudomonadales; Pseudomonadaceae
Description: bacterial SSU rRNA
Rfam family: Bacterial small subunit ribosomal RNA
Source: RNAcentral
CCUACGGGUGGCUGCAGUGGGGAAUAUUGGACAAUGGGCGAAAGCCUGAUCCAGCCAUGCCGCGUGUGUGAAGAAGGUCUUCGGAUUGUAAAGCACUUUAAGUUGGGAGGAAGGGCAGUAAGAUAAUACCUUGCUGUUUUGACGUUACCGACAGAAUAAGCACCGGCUAACUCUGUGCCAGCAGCCGCGGUAAUACAGAGGGUGCAAGCGUUAAUCGGAAUUACUGGGCGUAAAGCGCGCGUAGGUGGUUUGUUAAGUUGGAUGUGAAAGCCCCGGGCUCAACCUGGGAACUGCAUCCAAAACUGGCAAGCUAGAGUACGGUAGAGGGUGGUGGAAUUUCCUGUGUAGCGGUGAAAUGCGUAGAUAUAGGAAGGAACACCAGUGGCGAAGGCGACCACCUGGACUGAUACUGACACUGAGGUGCGAAAGCGUGGGGAGCAAACAGGAUUAGAUACCCCGGUAGUC